Molecule: long non-coding RNA, 623 nt
Organism: Larimichthys crocea (large yellow croaker)
Lineage: Eukaryota; Metazoa; Chordata; Actinopteri; Sciaenidae
Exons: 3
Source: RefSeq, a predicted model, not a curated record
CAUUCGGGCCAAAUGCACAGCCAGGCCCAGGAAGCCGCUCUUGACCUUCCAUCACUCACAGUAGCCCCCUGCCAGCCUCGCACCCCUGGCAGCUGUUGUGCGCUCCGACAGUAACGGCCCAGCACGAGCGCAACAGUGCGAUUUCAAAAGAAGAGAAGACGGAGAAGACUACUAGUGAGUGAUUUGCAGACAAUGAAGAGAAAGUCCACAGAUAUCUCUUCUUAUUUUAAGAAGAAAGUGAGCACAGUGGGAGAGAGAGAGCAGCAGAGGCUUAGUGAGGAGGAGAAAGAGCAGGAUGGAGGAGAGGAACAGACAGAGCAGCAUGAGGAUACACAGGCACAGCCAGCAUCAGUCAGAGAGCACAGUGACGAGGAAGAGCCUCAGCAAACAGCAGACCAGGGGCAGGAAGCACCAAAAGCAGGUGUUCAACCUGUUCCUGGACCAACAGAUAUCUCCCAGUCAAGAGCAGAGCAGCCCAAGCAGCCACAACUGAAACCCUUCCCUAGAACCUAUAGGGGACAGGAGACUAUUGAUCCCUGGUGGGAAAUUCUUGUUGAGUGUUUCUGUGCUCACUUGUUGCUUGCUUGCAAUUGUUUUGAUUACAAUAAAUGUACACCUUUAAA